This 424-nucleotide ribosomal RNA is filed under the name uncultured bacterium. RNAcentral's name for it is "partial 16S ribosomal RNA". It matches the Rfam family "Bacterial small subunit ribosomal RNA", at positions 360 to 776 of the family's 1533-position model. The record is from RNAcentral.
AAUAUGGGACAAGGGGGGGAACCCUGAUCCAGUCAUGCCGCGUGUGUGAAGUAGGUCUUAUGAUUGAAAAGUACUUUAAGUUGGGAGGAAGAGGUGUAGGCUAAUACGCUGCAAUAUUGACGAUACCAACAGAAUAGGGACCGGCUAACUCCGGACCAGCAGCCGCGGUAAUAGGAAGGUGGCAAGCGUUAAUGGGCAUUACUGGGCGUAAAGCGCGCGUCGGGGUUUCGUUAAGUUGGAAGUGAAAGCCCCGGGCUUAACCUGGGAAUUGCUUUCAAAACUGACGAGCUAGAGUACGGUAGAGGGUAGUGGAAUUUGCUGUGUAGCGGUGAAAUGCGUAGAUAUAGGAAGGAACAUCAGUGGCGAAGGCGACUACCUGGACUGAUACUGACACUGAGGUGCGAAAGCGUGGGGAGCAAACAGG